Molecule: ribosomal RNA, 484 nt
Filed under: uncultured bacterium
Lineage: Bacteria
Description: partial 16S ribosomal RNA
Rfam family: Bacterial small subunit ribosomal RNA
Source: RNAcentral
GACGAACGCUGGCGGCGUGCUUAACACAUGCAAGUCGAACGAUGAAGCCGGAGCUUGCUCUGGUGAAUUAGUGGCGAACGGGUGAGUAACACGUGAGUAACCUGCCCUUGACUCUGGGAUAACUGCGGGAAACUGUAGCUAAUACCGGAUACGACCCUCGGAGGCAUCUCCUGGGGGUGGAAAGAAUUUCGGUCAAGGAUGGACUCGCGGCCUAUCAGCUAGUUGGUGAGGUAAGGGCUCACCAAGGCGACGACGGGUAGCCGGCCUGAGAGGGUGACCGGCCAAAAUGGGACUGAGACAAGGCCCAGACUCCUACGGGAGGCAGCAGUGGGGAAUAUUGCACAAUGGGCGCAAGCCUGAUGCAGCAACGCCGCGUGAGGGAUGACGGCCUUCGGGUUGUAAACCUCUUUUAGUAGGGAAGAAGCGAAAGUGACGGUACCUGCGGAAAAAGCACCGGCUAACUACGUGCCAGCCGCCGCGGUAA